AACGAACGCUGGCGGCAUGCCUAACACAUGCAAGUCGAACGAGACCUUCGGGUCUAGUGGCGCACGGGCGCGUAACGCGUGGGAACCUGCCUUUAGGUUCGGAAUAACUCAGAGAAAUUUGAGCUAAUACCGGAUGAUGUCUUCGGACCAAAGAUUUAUCGCCUUUAGAUGGGCCCGCGUUGGAUUAGCUAGUUGGUGGGGUAAAGGCCUACCAAGGCGACGAUCCAUAGCUGGUCUGAGAGGAUGAUCAGCCACGCUGGGACUGAGACACGGCCCAGACUCCUACGGGAGGCAGCAGUGGGGAAUAUUGGACAAUGGGCGAAAGCCUGAUCCAGCAAUGCCGCGUGAGUGAUGAAGGCCUUAGGGUUGUAAAGCUCUUUUACCCGAGAUGAUAAUGACAGUAUCGGGAGAAUAAGCUCCGGCUAACUCCGUG
RNAcentral lists this ribosomal RNA (433 nucleotides) under uncultured bacterium. Its description in RNAcentral is "partial 16S ribosomal RNA". It matches the Rfam family "Bacterial small subunit ribosomal RNA", at positions 29 to 507 of the family's 1533-position model. The record is from RNAcentral.